Molecule: long non-coding RNA, 848 nt
Organism: Cotesia glomerata
Lineage: Eukaryota; Metazoa; Arthropoda; Insecta; Hymenoptera; Braconidae
Exons: 2
Source: RefSeq, a predicted model, not a curated record
AUCGAAUUGUGUAUUUUCACUUUGUUGUUAGUGUCAGUCACUGCUGUUUGAAGAGUGGGAUUUAGGAGGAAAAAUAAUAAUGCAUCGGGACUUCCCCGAUAUACUGGUUAAAAUAUAGUCGUCGAGCUGCGAGAGGAGAUGACGGUGUUGGUGAUAAAUGAACCGCAUCACUUAUUGAUGUGAAAUUUGAUUUUUUUAUAACCGAAAAUCGUCUCCACCAUACUGUAAUCGCAAAAAAUAUCCCGCAAAUGGCAAUCGUAACUUUGAAAGAAAAAAAUACAGAGUGUAAAUUAGUUUUCAAUAACAAAUAAUUGAGGAAAUGAGUAGGGUGUAUGUUUCUAAAGUUGACAUGUACCAAGUCAUUCACUUUAGAUUUUCUUAUCAAACAAUAACUACUUCAAAUAGAGUAAUAUCAUACAUAAAAAUAUUGCCAGAAGUUUUAUGUUUCAUUUUUUAGUAAAGAUCAUAAAUACCCAAACGAAAUAUAAGGUAUCCAACUUGACAGUAAUCAGUUUUCUCUUUUAAAUUUAAACUAAGUUCAAGAAUCAGAGAUAAUAUAUUGUCUGAAAACAUCGACUUUUGGAGCAUUCACCCUACUUAAUUUUUAAUCAAAAGUAUACUGUAGAAAGUUGACAAAAAUGCAGACUGAAAAUCUGAUUCAUUUAAUACUUUUGAUUUAGGCUGCUUAAUACUCCGGAAAGGAAUAAAACGGUCCUGGACUUUUAUUUCCUCCCUUUUGUUAUUUAUUCGCGAAUUGUAUUGUGGUUCUGAAACUUUGGACGAGAAUAUAUUGUUGUCAGAUUUCCAAAGUGGCAAAUGUUGAUCUGAUAAACAUUAAAAUGAAUUAA